Molecule: ribosomal RNA, 242 nt
Filed under: uncultured Actinomycetales bacterium
Lineage: Bacteria; Bacillati; Actinomycetota; Actinomycetes; Actinomycetales
Description: partial 16S ribosomal RNA
Rfam family: Bacterial small subunit ribosomal RNA
Source: RNAcentral
UACUCGAGUGGCGAACGGGUGAGUAACACGUGGGUGAUCUGCCUUGCACUUCGGGAUAAGCCUGGGAAACUGGGUCUAAUACCGGAUAGGACCAUGCUUUAGUGUGUGUGGUGGAAAGUUUUUCGGUGCAAGAUGAGCCCGCGGCCUAUCAGCUUGUUGGUGGGGUAAUGGCCUACCAAGGCGACGACGGGUAGCCGGCCUGAGAGGGUGUACGGCCACAUUGGGACUGAGAUACGGCCCAG